This 2614-nucleotide long non-coding RNA is filed under the name Olea europaea subsp. europaea. Lineage: Eukaryota; Viridiplantae; Streptophyta; Magnoliopsida; Lamiales; Oleaceae. The record is from RNAcentral.
AAAUGCCACCUUUUGAGAGCCCUUAUAAAAUUGUCAAUUUUGAAGAAUUUUGGACAUUUUUGACCAUCUGAAUAAUUUCAAUACCUUGUAUGUCUUGCAUUAAAUGAGAUAAGACUUGAUAAAAGAUUGUACAAAAUUGUGUACCAAAUAACUCAAUGUGGGAAAUAAAACAAAAAAAUAAGGAGGUGAAAUGCCCAAAAGAAGAAGAAAAUGAAACUGACCCAAACACACUCACAUCUCUCACAAAACCGACUUAAACGCACUCCUCUCACUGAAAUCGCCCAUCUCCGUCCCAUCCUGUGACGACCUUCACUGUUGAUGACGACGAAAACAAAAUACGAAUUCACUCCUCUAUCAUUCGAAUUGAUCAAAGUCGAGCAUCAUCUCUCCUCUGUUAAUCGAAUCAUCCAACACCUAGCCGUCCACGAUCGCCGUGAAUCUGUCCAUUGCUAGUGAAGACCGUCACUAAUAUCUUGAGGUUGGUGUUUUCUUUAUUUUUUGUUUGCAUUUUCUGGAAAAGAGGAAUAUGAAUAUGAAGCACCUAUUGAACAAAAGAGCGAACCGUUGAUGCAUUUUAAGAAUAUUUCAUUAGUUAUUACUUAAGAAAUGUGAGGAACAAUUUCUGUUGCUCACUUCACUUGGUUUAUUUGUCUCGGCAACUGCAAGCGAGGAAGUUACUAUUUUGUCAUCCUGGGAUUUGUCAUUUGUUUGCUAAGAUUGAUAACGAACGAAAAUAUGCCCCUUUUAUAGGAGGAUUUCUUAUCUUAUCGAUAUCACGAUAUGUAUAUAUUUUUUGUUGUACAGAGAAGUUAAUGUUAGGGAAUGUGUUGGACUAAAUAAUUUAAGCUGGUUGAAUUUAUUUUUUUAUUAUUUACAUACUUUUUAGGACUCAUAUUUUACUAUUUAUUUUUUAUUCAAACAUUGUUAAUAAGAUAUUUGGAAUGUUCUUUUCUUUUAAGGCAAUAACUUCUGUACUUUUGACUUUUGCACAAAGUGAAGGGCAAUUAUUUCUCAAAUUACAAAUAACUGAGCUGUUGAUUUACUCAUGAAAGCGAUGAAAGGAUGGCAAAAUUUUCCUGUUUUAGACUGUAUGUCUAUAUUGCAUUGUCUGACUUAAAUUUUUCGUUCCGAAAUUUUUGAACUCAUUUCGAAUUAUUUGAUUUUAUAUGAUUCGAUAUAAACUAUAUUUUGAUAAUAAUAAUAAAAUUAAUAAAUUAAAGAAGACAAUCAAUAGAGAUUUUUUUUUUCUAUUUUUCAACUUUCCUCCGAGAUUUCCUCUUUGAUUUUUUUAACUCUUAUCAUUCUAUUUUUCGAGAAUCCUCGAGAGAAUGAUAAGAGAAACGCCAUUUAGCCCGAGAUUUCCUUUCUCUUUUGGCAGGGGGUGACCCAGGUGCCCCUGGAUAAAUGCUCUACACAGCACACCAUUUUGAAGAAGCCCUUUUGUUUCACUUUUUCCUGAUGUAUGACAAGUUUAAUAUCUUAUUUCAUUCUACAAUAAGAUGCACCAUGUGUUCUUAUGUUUCCAUUUGGCUGGUUUAGUAGGAAAAAUUCCCUUUUGUUUCACUUUUUCCCGAUGUAUGAGAAAUUUAAUAUCUUAUUUCAUUCUACAACUUGCAUUCUUAGUUUCCUAGAGAGAAAUAACCGAGUAAUUGAAUAUAUGGGAUUUCAUUAAUUGAGUAUAAUUUGUUCUUAGAAUGUAAGGUUAUUCGGAUAUGUCCAAGUGUGAGGACUUCCAUUUUCCCAAAAUAUGAACCGUCUUUGCAUUUGCAUGUACACUUAUCAUUGAGUCAUUUAUGUAAUCAUGUUUGAAGUCAUUUAUGUAUACGGUCAAAAUUGUUCGUCAUAUAACCCGAUCAUUUAUGCUUGGAAAAUCAUGACCGUGCAUGGCAUACGAUUUGAGCGGAUCAUUCACAGUUUUUGUUGUUACAAUUGGCUUCAAACAUGAAUUACAUGCUCAUACCUUGCAUUCGUAUUGAACUGAUUGUGGUUUAAACGUUGUCCUUGCAUGUCUCCUUUGUCCACUUCUGUUGCACAGCUUACUUUAGUAGGUAGAUCAACUCCCGGUGAACUGUCGUUCCAGAUAUUUCACCUCAAUUAUUCUCGACAGUUCACCUCACUCCAGCCCUGUUUGGAUAUCAACCGUCGAUGUUAACAGAUAAUCUGUCGAUAUCGGUAGUUGAUGUCAGUUUUUCUCGACAGUUCACUUAGUCCAUGCAUGAGUUCGAUUCAUUAAAUGUUACAUGUGAUAUAUUAUGUUUAACAUUAUCAUGUAACCCCAGACUUUUUCUCACUGGACCUUGCAGGACAUAUGUAGUUCGAAUUCCUCAUUCCAAAAGAUGCACGGUUGCGGGUCCAUAUUUCCCAACGAACCAACCUUAAGGAUGUGGGGUUAAUUUAGAGUGGAUGGACGGAAUUUGAAAAUUAUGAAUGGUUAUGUACACUAAUAUUUGUUUUACAAUGAAGACACUAGAAACUCUUUCCAUGUUCAUAGGUCACGGCGAUUGAUUUCCAAAUUUACUUGGAGAUUGGACUUGGUGGUUAGGUAAUAAAUUUGAGUAAUUGCUUCCUCUAUUCAAGUUGUUUAUAAAUAGCAUGUUGCAAUUGUCAAUUACAC